Ctenopharyngodon idella (grass carp) is the source of this 1713-nucleotide long non-coding RNA. RefSeq lists it as uncharacterized. The record is from RefSeq and is a predicted model, not a curated record. NCBI's taxonomy places the organism in Eukaryota, Metazoa, Chordata, Actinopteri, Cypriniformes, Xenocyprididae. The transcript is spliced from 6 exons.
GGUCUGUAUGUCAUCUCAAACCCGGAACCACGAUGUGUGUGUGAUUACUUUCAUUGUUUGCCACCUGCCAAAAGGAACCGAAGCGAUGCGUUGGAUCAAAGAAGUUUACGUGUGUUUAAUAUCGCUAUCGUUCGUUGUUUGGCCUGUGUGGACUACAGUCACAGAGACAACACAAAACUACACCUGCACGGAAGAAUUGCACCAUGUAAAAUCUGAAUAUGCAAUGGAGAACCCAGACUGUGAUCAGUAUUGGUCUGCACAGGAACAUUCCAUUGGAACGUUUGUGAGAUCCACCCCCGAGUGUCACAGUCCAUGUAAAGAGUUGUUCGUUGGGAGAAUCAUACUAACUGGAUGUGUCAAUAUCACCCUGGCUGUAAUAUGCGCAAGAGAUUAUUUGAUGGAACACCGUAUACAUUUUUAUGGCAUAAUGGUCCCGGUCCCUCAAUCACUGCACAACCCUGUGAAGAGAGAUCACAUCGGUAUUUUCCUGACCAUUGCCUUGCUGGUCAUAGCCAUUUCAUGUCUGCUAGGUGCUGGAUGUGCAUACAAAAACAACAGAGGCAGGGAUGAAGAGAGCCUUCAGCAGAGAUUCUCUUGAACUUUUUACAGUCUUUUUAACGUUAUCAUGGCACGGACUCAUAUUUGUAUAUAGCAUAGGAAUUGGAGAUGCACAGAUACUAAAUUUCACCACAGAUAACCCAUUAUUUAAAAUGAUGUCUGGCGAUAUUGAUAGUUUGAGUUUUCUUAAAGAAAAAAAAAAUCCCUCUCAACUAAUGCUGUAAACUAUAAAGGGAACCCUCUCACUUGGUACAUUAAUAUUACAGAUUAAAAUUAACAACAGAACUAUUAUAUAUUAUAUAUUCAGCUGCUAUUUUUUUUUCAGAGAUAAUAAACAUUGGAUGACUUUCCUGAGGUAAAUGCAAUGUUAAGUGACAUUGCUCAUAAGCUGUUUUGUUGUUUAUCCACCCCCUUUUUGAUUGACAGAAUAUAAUUGGCUGAUCGGUGAUCACUAAUAGGAAUACUACAUCAACUUUAUAUAUGGUUUGUCCAGAGUAUUACAGUUAACUAGAAACUUUUGUUACUUGAAAUAAAAUAACCGUUAUCUGAAAUAAGAUAAAAAUAGGCUAGUUGCCAAGAAAGAAAGUUUAACUUAAUGUACUAAAAUAACUAAAAUUAAAAUUAUUUAAAAACUUAAUUUUAUACUAGACGUAUAAAAUUAAAAAAAAAAAAAUCUUAAAUAAAAGUAGAAAAUAUUUUAACUUAUUAUAACUAAUGUGAUUACUUAACAGUUUUGCACAUUUAUAGCUGUGUAAAUGGAGACACAUGAAAACACUUCAUUUGGGUUUGAUGUCUUAUCCUCAGAACUUUUUUUAGUAUUGUGUUAAUAUAUCUAUUUUUUUUUUCUAUGCUUCAUAUCUACCUCUGAUGAUUGUUUUAUUGCUAGUCUAGUUUUUUUUUUUUUUUUUUUGACCGUGUCACUGGACUGAUGCAUAAAACAAAAAUUUCUUCAAAUUAAAGUAUUAUUUGUACAAAAUGUUCUAACUAUGCUGUUUUUUUUUUUUAAUUGAUAAUUUGUUUUUUUGUAUAGUCGAAAGAAACUUGUGAAACAACCUUUUGUUCUAUACUAUAGAAAAAAAACAUGACAGUGUCCUGGCAGAAUAACCACUGUUGUAGUUCAUUGUCAUUUGUCAACAAUAAACACAAAGCCAAAGA